AGCGCAGACGGUUAUUUAAGCAAGAUGUGAAAGCCCCGGGCUCAACCUGGGAACUGCGUUUUGAACUGGGUAACUAGAGUGUGUCAGAGGGGGGUAGGAAUUCCACGUGUAGCAGUGAAAUGCGUAGAGAUGUGGAGGAAUACCGAUGGCGAAGGCAGCCCCCUCGGGAUAACAACUGACGUUCAUGCUCGAAAGCGUGGGUAGCAAACA
RNAcentral lists this ribosomal RNA (210 nucleotides) under uncultured bacterium. RNAcentral describes it as "partial 16S ribosomal RNA". It matches the Rfam family "Bacterial small subunit ribosomal RNA", at positions 568 to 774 of the family's 1533-position model. The record is from RNAcentral.